RNA transcript from Musa acuminata AAA Group (dessert banana), 3494 nucleotides. It is a transcript of the gene named two-component response regulator ORR21, with no coding region annotated. NCBI's taxonomy places the organism in Eukaryota, Viridiplantae, Streptophyta, Magnoliopsida, Zingiberales, Musaceae. The record is from RefSeq and is a predicted model, not a curated record. The transcript is spliced from 8 exons.
CCCCAAGAAAGGACACACCCCAACAGUGGUAUCCUCUCUCUCUCUUCCCGUUCUCCUCUCACUCUCUCUCUCUCUCUCUCUGCUCCCUCGCUCACAGUGAUCUUUGGAUCGAGGGAUCGGUCGACGAAGCCGCGGUUCGCAACUCUCAGGCGUCGGGUGCUCUCGAUCUUUACGUGGAUUUGAUCUGAACCGGGUCGGGUUGCGGCGGAGGGGGCUUCCCGUUGACUUUCCCGCUCUGCUCUUGGAGGAGGUUCCGGCGGAUCCGGGGUGUCAAAUCUUGUCGAGCUUUGGAUUGGAAAGGUUGGGCAUGGAGGUUGGAUAGGGAUCUGUGGGAGGUGGGGUAGAAGUGGUGAUUUGAACAAGUUUGUGGAGUGAUUGGCGGGAUUGGGGAUUGUCCGAGGAAGCGAAGGUUCGGGAAUCGGAGGUGCGAAACAUGAGCGUGGGAAGCAGCUACGCGAGUUCCAAGUUGGAGAGUGACAGAGUGCCGGAUAAGUUCCCGGUGGGAAUGAAGAUUCUCUUGGUGGAUGACGACCCGAUCUGCUUGGCUGUGGUUCAGCGUAUGCUUCUUAACUGCCAGUACGAUGUUACAACUUGUUCUGAGGCUACAAGAGCUUUAUCUCUGCUAAGGGAGAAUAAGGGUGCUUUUGAUCUUAUAAUCAGUGAUGUUCAUAUGCCUGACAUGGAUGGGUUUAGGCUACUCGAAUUAGUUGGUCUCGAAAUGGAUCUACCUGUUAUCAUGAUGUCUGGUGAUACAAGAUUCAAUGUUGUGAUGAAAGGAGUCAGUCAUGGGGCUUGUGAUUUUCUAACUAAGCCUGUACGUAUGGAAGAGCUACAGAACAUAUGGCAGCAUGUUGUAAGAAGAAAAUGGCUAGAUAGUAAAGAAAUAGAGCGUUCAGGUAGUGUUGAAGAAGCUGAUCGCAGUAGGCAAGUCACAGAUGAUUCUGAAUAUGCUUCCACAGUGAAUGAUGGAAUAGAUUGUUCAUGGAAAUAUCAAAGAAAGAAAAGAGACGCUAAAGAAGAAGAUGACAAUGAGUUAGACAACAUAGACCCUUCUUCAUCCAAAAAACCACGUGUGGUGUGGUCAGUUGAGCUCCAUCAGCAGUUUGUCAAUGCCGUGAACCAACUAGGAAUAGACAAAGCUGUGCCCAAGAGAAUCCUAGAAUUGAUGAAUGUGCCUGGUCUGACUAGAGAAAACGUUGCUAGCCAUUUGCAGAAGUUCAGGCUUUAUCUGAAGAGAUUGAGUGGGGUAGCUCAACACCACACUGGACUUAAUAGUCCAUUAUAUGGAGCUUCUUCAAAUGCAAAAGUGGGUCAGCUGGGAAGAUUUGAUUUCCAAGCUUUGGCAGUCUCAGGUCAAAUUUCUCCAGAAACCCUAGCUGCCUUGCAAGAUGAGCUCUUAGGUCAUCCUCCUUGUAACUUAGCGAUGCCAACAAUAGACCAGCAAGUUCUCCAACAAGCUUCAGUGCAACGAAAUAAUAGUGUUACUUUUGAGCGAGGAAUAGCAUUUGGUCAGCCUUUAUUAAAGGGCCAGGCAGUAUCCUCUUUUCCUGUUUGGCCCGCAAACGAUCUUGGUGCUCUGGGCUCUGCCAGCAACCUUGGAGGGUUGAAUACUUCUCAGAACAGUAACAUGCUCAUGACGAUGUUGCAGCAACCACAGCCGCAGACUGUGCCGUCAGAAUCCAAUCAUGCUAUUAAUGUCCAAAGAUCUUGUCUGGUUGCCCCAGCAAAAUCAUCAAACAAAUUUCAGGUUCAGGGCAAUCCUAUGCGUAUAAAUCAGGACUCUACCAUAAUCUCCUCCCAAUCUUCAGCUAAUUUUCAACCAGGGAAUGCUGUUGUUCCGGUGAUUCAAGAUUCUGCGGUAGUUACUUCUCACUCAUCCACCAGUUUGAAGAUGGGGAGUAACCUUUUUGUUACAAAUCAUAGAUCCACAAUACUCCCCUCUCAGUCAUUGACUGGCAUUUCACUGGGGACCGAUUCCGGGCUUCUAAAUCAAGGUUCUAUAAUAGUCUCUUCUCAACCAUUAAACAGUUCUCAGGCUGGGAGCAACUCUAUUCUUAGCAGUCAGAACUCCAUGGUAGUUCCAUCUCACUUAUCGGGCUCAUUGAGGACAGAUAAAAAUAUUAUUCCUAUCACCCAUAACUCAAGUUUGAAUAACAGUAGCUCACUUGUGAAUUACAAUCGCCUGCCCACCCAGUCAAAUGUUAUGCCAUCCAGCAUGAAGCAAGUAUUAGAUAAUUUAGCUGCAGUAGAUAGUUUCUCAGUUCCUGUAUCAAUGAAUUCACAAGUGUUAUCAAGUACAGGUAGCAGCACUAGUUGGCAGUUGCAUAGCCCUGACAUUAGCAUUAGUCAUCCAAAUGGCACACACAGUCUUGUGCCUAGUUCUUGUAACAUUGAAGCCACUGAUAGACUGUUGGUAAAAUUACCUGACAAGGGACUAGGGAAAAAUCUCGGUUUUGUUGGUAAAGGUACCUGUCUCCCAAGUCGUUUUGCUGUGGAUGACAUCGAAUCUCCAACAAAUGACUUGACUAAUAGUAGUACUUACACUGGCGAUGAUGGAUAUCUACAAAAUCAAGAUAUUUUUGGAAUUAGUGGGACACUUCAGAGUGGACAUUGUGCUACCACAAGUUUCAAGUGAUCUCAUGAAAGUUUCAGUAAGACUUGAAUCCUUCACGUGCAUUAUUUGUUUGAACGCAUCAUAUGUAUGGCUUAAACUGUCGGAGAAAGGGCUCCGCAUGUAAAAUACCUGUUGGCUUCAAGAGUCCCAUAUUUUAUGUGCAAUAUGAAUGAAGGUGGAUAGCAUGAAGGCAUGUUUUCUCCAGUUCAGCUGUACAUACUUCAAUCACGAUCCUCGUUUUCAAAUGCACCUUUACAUUGUGCAUAAAUUUUGCUAAGAAUCAAACACUGGCUGUGGUACCCAUAUUAAAAUGUUAUCGGACGAGUGCAUAUUGAUGGAUAUGGUAAAGUUUGGCUGGAUGACUUACUGAUCAUGGCGGCAUAUCAGUUGGCAUUACACAAGAUCUCCAAUUGCUCUUUCUUAAGUUCUCUGUUGCUUGUCAUGUUGGAGCGGAAGAAAUCUUUAUGGGAUUCUUUUUUACCAUCCCCCAAGAUACCAAGUUAUCAAGUUGGUCCCCAGCAACGUAAUUAUGAGAGGUCGUUGGUGGUUAGAAAUUGCUUCGGUCGAUUAUGUUUGCAAGUUGUGGAUCGAAGAACGAAGCAUCGGUUGUCAGAGUGGUAGUUCUUUGAGCUAGUUAAUUUGAUACAAAUAUAUAUAUAUAUUUAUAUAUCUAUAUAUAUGUAUAAUUUCUCUCUGUUUUCUUCAGCAAAACGAUGUGAUGGAAGUGUGAGGUAACAUUUGGGACCUGCUCAGCGGUCAUGUAAUUAAUUGUCAGUUGAUGGGCGUGGUAGAAAAAAUUGGUGUACAUUAGUAAGUAUGAGCGAGGCUCAUUGAUAACCUGUGUACUUGUUCUCGUCAAUAGUUGUGGUUUUUAUGUCCA